Small nuclear RNA from Dipodomys ordii (Ord's kangaroo rat), 100 nucleotides. Lineage: Eukaryota; Metazoa; Chordata; Mammalia; Rodentia; Heteromyidae. The record is from Ensembl.
UUGCUUUAGUAGCACAUUAACUAUAAUCGGAAGGAUACAGAGAUUUGUAUGGCUCCUACACAAAGGUGACAUAUAAAUAGGUGAAAUGUUCCACAUUAAA